AGAGUGAGUAAAAAAUCAAUGCGUGUACUAACCAUCAUAAAACGAUGACGUAAUCGUGUGGUGUUUCUUUUAACCAUUAACCUCCGUGCUUGCUUCGGCUAUUUAUUAAUUUUUUUAUUUUUUUAUAUUUCCUUUAGGACGGAUUAAAAAUUGAAAUUAAUAAAACAAAAAACAUUCGGUAAAUGUUGUGAAAAGUGUAAAAAUUGCAAGUGUAGUUUAUUUUUUAGUGAAAAAAAGUGAUCUCCAUGUUUUAUUGAGUUUUAUUUUAAAAUGUGUGUUAAGUGUGCGUGUUAAUUUAAUUUUUAAAUUUGUGUUAAUGAUGUCAAUUUUUGAGCUUCAUUUUUAAAUGUGUAUUUGUGUUAAAGUUGUAGUAUAUUUUAAAAUGUGGCCAUUGUAGGCGAAAAAAAGAAGAAAAUGGCAGUGUAUAAAAUUAAAAUGGCCGCAAAGAAGCAUUUUUGAAGUGAAUGCUUUUUUCUGUGGUUUUUAAAAGUGUAGUGUCCUGAGUAUAGAACCAUCGUUUUAUCCGGUUGCCUGACCCGGAUACAACAGCCAAAGAUGUCUCUUCACGAUUCGGAAAAAGUCUCAAAAUUAAUUUACCAAAAGUUGCUAAACCCUGGUACGGGCAGAAGCAAAAGGAAUCGCUUCCUACGCCGGCGAAGCACGAAACCACGUAGAUCACGCCCGGUUUUAAAUCUUCAAUCAAUUCUUUAAUAAACAACAUCAAAAUUUCAAAGCAACCAAAAUCACCUAAAAAAAAGUUUGAGGAAUCCCCGGCUACUG
Long non-coding RNA from Anopheles funestus (African malaria mosquito), 780 nucleotides. RefSeq lists it as uncharacterized. The transcript has 6 exons. The record is from RefSeq and is a predicted model, not a curated record. NCBI's taxonomy places the organism in Eukaryota, Metazoa, Arthropoda, Insecta, Diptera, Culicidae.